UGGGGGAUAUUGCACAAUGGGGGAAACCCUGAUGCAGCGACGCCGCGUGUAGGAAGACGGUCCUCUGGAUUGUAAACUACUGUCUUCGGGGACGAUAAUGACGGUACCCACAGGAGAAGCACCGGCUAACUUCGUGCCAGCAGCCGCGGUAAUACGAAGGGUGCUAGCGUUAUUCGGAAUCACUGGGCGUAAAGAGUGUGUAGGCGGUUAAAUAAGUUAGUUAUGAAAUCCCUGAGCUUAACUCAGGAACUAUAAUUAAAACUAUUUUACUAGAGUAUAGUAGGCGAUGGCGGAAUUCUUAGUGUAGGGGUGAAAUCCGUAGAUAUUAAGAGGAACACCGGUGGUGAAGACGGCUAUCUUGACUAUAACUGACGCUAAAACACGAAGGCAUGGGUAGCAAACA
RNAcentral lists this ribosomal RNA (403 nucleotides) under uncultured bacterium. RNAcentral's name for it is "bacterial SSU rRNA". It matches the Rfam family "Bacterial small subunit ribosomal RNA", at positions 355 to 774 of the family's 1533-position model. The record is from RNAcentral.